Molecule: long non-coding RNA, 549 nt
Organism: Amphiprion ocellaris (clown anemonefish)
Lineage: Eukaryota; Metazoa; Chordata; Actinopteri; Pomacentridae
Source: Ensembl
CGCGCUGUGCAGCGCGAAACACUGGUAAGCUUUAAAUAUUGUAUUAAUAUUGUUUCUUCUUUUCAGACCAGUGUUCUGUGGCUGCAGGGCAGAGUCUGCUGACGGUGUCUCUGCUUAUCGGCGGCUUCAUGCGUCUGUAGCGUCGGACAGCCGAGUUCUGGACUGCUGAUGCGCUCCAUGUACACAGGUGUUGAGCUGAAUCUCAGGAUGUGGGACUAAAUACUACACUUCCCAGAACGCACCGGUAGCAGCAGAGAGGUGCUUGACACCUGAUCAGUGAUCACUGAUUUAGAGCACCUGGGAAGGACUGGGGGGAACUCAGUCAUUCAGACCAACACUCUUCAGAGGAAAAAGGAACAAGGAAAGAACAAAGGAGAUUCUAGUCCACUCGUGGAUUCAGUCCAAAGAUGCCAAUGGUUUACAACCUACUGCAAUAACACGACCAACCAACUACAAGGAAAAUAAAAGUUUGAGUUGGAAACUUGAAUUGAGUUGUCCUUACGUCCUUUGAAGGGAAAGAGGUGGACUUGACACCAGGUUUCAUAGAUG